AUCUUCGCUUGCUUUUGCUUGUGGCAACUUAAGUACAGACAUGCCCGCACUUGUCUUAUACUUGUAAGUUCCAAUGAGUUGGGCAUACUGCUUCUUUCCCCAAUGCAAAAUUGAGUUCAAACUAUAGGAAAAAAGGUAUGAUUCUGUUGCAGCAUUGUUUCUUAUGUCACACAUUUGAGUUGACUUCAUUUUCUCACAUUGAUCACAAAUUAUGUGUUUGACUGCUUCUUGCCAUCCAAUGUUCUAUUAUUUGUGGAAACAUCUGAUGUAAUGCCAUCCAUGCAACAUGGACUGAAGGAUUACAUUAUACAUAACUAUAUUUGAUUUUAUAUUGGAGUGUGCCUAAGUUGUGUUCCAACACUGUAAUAUAACUGAUGUCAUUUGGCACUGUGUCAACAAAUGUAUGCGCUGAAUUUUGGUGAUGACUUUUAACGGAAAAACUUGCGUGCUGAAGAAGACAAUUAAGCUGAUAAACAGUUGGAUGGAUAGAUGCACAACACUAAAUAAUAGUAGCUUCCUGUGUUGACAAGAAUCCUCUCCAUUCCAUAUUGGUUCUUUCUGACCUGUCUUACUAUCUUGCAAACGAAACUGACUUUUGGCAUGCAAUGUAUUAUGCACAAAGUGUAUUUCAUGUUGAGUCCAUGUAAUUUGUGAAUUUAUCCAUGUGACCUGUAAUUUCAAAUUGCUAUACCUGCAGUUUCUUUUAUGAAUCAUUUUUCUGAACACCUGUACUAAUAAGACAUUUUAGUCACAUGCUACUCAAGUGAUUUUAGAUGGAACACUUCUAUGCACAUAGAAAACUAUCCUUCUAAUCAGUCUUCCAUAUCCUUCCUCAUUGGAUGGAACACAUCAAUUUCCAGUGACCUAUGUGGUAAAUAGUACAAGGCACCGCUUAACAACUUAUCAUUUACUACCUCCAUGCUAAAAUAUAACAAUUUCUAGUUAUGUAUCUAGGAAUACCCUUGUCUAGAUACAUAAUGGAUAUACCCUUAUCCAGAUACAUAACCAGAAAGAGUUAUAUUUCAGAACGGAGAGAGUAGUUUACAAACAGCUUACUGAUCUAGUUUUAUAUGCCACAGUUUGGUUUGUUGCUAUCACUUUAACAGUAUACAUAUCUGCAAGGCACGCUUUUGCAACGAGCCUUGCUUAUCCAACCAGUAGGUAAAAUUAUAGGCAAUGGUCGAAUAAAACAUCAGUACGGUUCGCAUAUGAACCUAUCCAUACAACACGUACUUCUAUAUGUAAUCUGCCUGUCGCUUUUCUUUUCAGGACCUGGUUCAUAUUGGCCUCGGGUGGCAAGCGAGGGAAUCUGUGCAUUCGACGAUACUUCAGACAUUGCCUGUUCAUGAGCGUUGAUGAAGAUGAGAUGAACAGUAGACCCACACAAAAAAAAAAACAUGAUUCUUGUAAGGCAAAGAACGGAUUGACAAGGUAAUAGUAUUCGAGCAAUCUCAUGCAUCUUCUGUUUUACCCAGACAGACAACCGUUGUUGAAUUUUCCCAGGUAGCACUUGAUGUGGGUGACUUUUCAUUUGCAUGGUCACCAUAUAAUUUUUACUGACAGUGUUGUUCCACUUGCUAGUUACCUUGUGUAUGUAAUUCAGAACUAUUACGUCAGAUUAGAAUAUUACAAAGCAGAGGAGCG
This 1644-nucleotide long non-coding RNA is filed under the name Oryza sativa (Asian cultivated rice). RNAcentral's name for it is "long non-coding RNA (OSAT_LNC000296)". Lineage: Eukaryota; Viridiplantae; Streptophyta; Magnoliopsida; Poales; Poaceae. The record is from RNAcentral.